RNAcentral lists this ribosomal RNA (253 nucleotides) under uncultured bacterium. Its description in RNAcentral is "partial 16S ribosomal RNA". It matches the Rfam family "Bacterial small subunit ribosomal RNA", at positions 524 to 776 of the family's 1533-position model. The record is from RNAcentral.
UACGAAGGGGGCUAGCGUUGCUCGGAAUCACUGGGCGUAAAGGGUGCGUAGGCGGGUUUUUAAGUCAGAGGUGAAAUCCUGGAGCUCAACUCCAGAACUGCCUUUGAUACUGGCGACCUUGAGUCCGGGAGAGGUGAGUGGAACUGCGAGUGUAGAGGUGAAAUUCGUAGAUAUUCGCAAGAACACCAGUGGCGAAGGCGGCUCACUGGCCCGGUACUGACGCUGAGGUGCGAAAGCGUGGGGAGCAAACAGG